GACGAACGCUGGCGGCGGGCUUAACACAUGCAAGUCGAACGGAAAGGCCCCUUUGGGGGUCCUCUAGGGGCGAACGGGUGCGUAACACGGGAGUAACCUGCCCUUUACUCCGUUACAACUUCAGUAAACUGGGGCUAAUACCGGAUAGGAAUCCUUGCUGCAUGGUGGGGGUGGGAAAGCUUCGGGGGUUUUGGAUGGAUUGGCGGCUUAUCAGCUUGUUGGUGGGGUAGUGGCUUACCAAGGCGUUGACGGGUAGCCGGCCUGUGAGGGGGACCGGCCACCUUGGGACUGAGGUGCGGCCCAGACUCCUACGGGAGGAAGAAGGGGGGAAGAUUGAACCAUGGGCGGAGGCCUGAUGAAGAAGCGCCGCGGGCGGGAUGACGGUCUUCGGGUUGAAGAACGCUUUCAGCAGGGGAGAAGCUUGUGGUGACGGUACCUGAAGAAGAAGCACCGGCUAACUACGUG
RNAcentral lists this ribosomal RNA (465 nucleotides) under uncultured bacterium. RNAcentral describes it as "partial 16S ribosomal RNA". It matches the Rfam family "Bacterial small subunit ribosomal RNA", at positions 28 to 507 of the family's 1533-position model. The record is from RNAcentral.